CGUAUAGUCUAUAGCGACGCUUUUCUAUAUAACCAGCAGGCCGAAUAGCGUCUGUUUUACACGUACACACACGUCCACACGUCCACACACGUCCACACGUCCACACGUCCACAGCUCCUCGCCUGUCGGCUCACUAACAGCGUCCACACUUUCAGGUCCAGCCUAGUGCCAUUCUAUCCAAGACCAGCAGACAUGAUUAUCAGACUGGGGCGCCUGACUCCUGGAUACUUCCGUCUCCUGCAGAGGCAGAUAGCCGGUGACGUUCAGUCCCAGCCGCAAGACCGCUCCCUUAAUCAGAUUGCCAUGAUGCUGGCCAUUAUGGGUCUUAGCCUGUCCUACUACAGCGCCAAACAGAUGACGGAGACGGUGCAAAGCAGCUCUGUGCCCUGAACAUGACCAUGACCGAAGAUCCAUUUCAUCCUGGAGAAGGCCUAGAAGCCGAAUCAGAGAUGGAGAUUUGAAGACCUUAUCCAGCAAUCUUUUUACACUACAACAUGUUGAUCCUGGUUAUUCUGGGUUUAGUCAGCAUGAGACGAGUUCAGGGUUUUUAGGGAACAGCGUCAAAAAAAAAAAAAGCAUUCAGACGUGGCCUGGGUCUUGAUGGUUGUGCUGGUACAUUACUCAGGGUUCCUUAAUACCAAAGAACAAAGCUUUGGCUUACUUCUCAAUGAUAUAUAUUUAAACAGAGGAAGUGCGUUUUACAGGAAAACCCUUCGCCCUAUGUAUCAAACAACUAUUGGUAGCAGAUCACUGAAAACUUGGGAUAUUUUAAAUUCUGCAUAAAUGGAGACAAGGUAUCACAGGGAACCCACACUGUUAGAGCAGAACCAAACUACACUACUAUAUGUAAUAAAAGGUCUGUUCUUGUUCGAUUUCUUUUACCGUACUAAUAAGUAGCCAUGUUUGUCGAGUUUAAUGAGCACAGACUUUAAAGGGACGUUAACAAGUGCACGUGUGUGAAGAUUUUAAAGAAUCCGAUAUGUGAUAAAUUACUUGUAUGAAUGUAUGUUUUGUUUUUUUAAAACUUGACUAAAUAAAGCUGUGAACAUUUUGAACAAGUCAA
Molecule: long non-coding RNA, 1063 nt
Organism: Tachysurus fulvidraco (yellow catfish)
Lineage: Eukaryota; Metazoa; Chordata; Actinopteri; Siluriformes; Bagridae
Exons: 3
Source: RefSeq, a predicted model, not a curated record